AUUGAACGCUGGCGGCAUGCUUUACACAUGCAAGUCGAACGGUAACAGGCCGCAAGGUGCUGACGAGUGGCGAACGGGUGAGUAAUGCAUCGGAACGUGCCCAGUCGUGGGGGAUAACUACUCGAAAGAGUAGCUAAUACCGCAUACGAUCUAUGGAUGAAAGCGGGGGACCGUAAGGCCUCGCGCGAUUGGAGCGUCCGAUGUCAGAUUAGGUAGUUGGUGGGGUAAAGGCUCACCAAGCCAACGAUCUGUAGCUGGUCUGAGAGGACGACCAGCCACACUGGGACUGAGACACGGCCCAGACUCCUACGGGAGGCAGCAGUGGGGAAUUUUGGACAAUGGGCGCAAGCCUGAUCCAGCAAUGCCGCGUGCAGGAAGAAGGCCUUCGGGUUGUAAACUGCUUUUGUACGGAACGAAACGGCUCUGGUUAAUACCCGGGGCUAAUGACGGUACCGUAAGAAUAAGCACCGGCUAACUACGUG
This 482-nucleotide ribosomal RNA is filed under the name uncultured bacterium. Its description in RNAcentral is "partial 16S ribosomal RNA". It matches the Rfam family "Bacterial small subunit ribosomal RNA", at positions 30 to 507 of the family's 1533-position model. The record is from RNAcentral.